CUUCUCACAGGAGAUUUCAACGUCAUUUACGAGGCUAGGGAUAAGAACAACCUUAAUCUGAACCGGCGCGUUAUGGGUAGAUUUAGAGAUGCCAUCGAUGCGGUCGGCUUGCGGGAGAUCAAGUGUAGAAAUAGAUGCUUCACUUGGAGCAACGAGCGGCAAAACCCCACCCUAGUUAGCAUAGAUAAA
This 189-nucleotide ribosomal RNA is filed under the name Triticum aestivum (bread wheat). Its description in RNAcentral is "partial small subunit ribosomal RNA". The record is from RNAcentral. Lineage: Eukaryota; Viridiplantae; Streptophyta; Magnoliopsida; Poales; Poaceae.